Molecule: long non-coding RNA, 187 nt
Organism: Telopea speciosissima
Lineage: Eukaryota; Viridiplantae; Streptophyta; Magnoliopsida; Proteales; Proteaceae
Exons: 4
Source: RefSeq, a predicted model, not a curated record
ACCAGAAAACUAAAAGACCAGACGGGACCAACUUGUACAUAACAAUUUUGCCGCUACAAUUCAGUGGCAGUUUGAAGGACUUGAACAGAUAUCAGAUUUCAAAGUUUAACCUAAAAUUAAGAUAUAAUCACAUUAAUUAACCAGACGCAAUUAAUUUACCAGCAGAAGAGGCAAGACCGGAUUUAUC